CUGUCCUAUGUCCAGUUUAUUUCUGCUAAGAUAGUCACUCUUAGGAGAGUGGGAAAGUAGUAAUGUUCAAGUAUCUCAGUUGAUACAGAAAGGACAACUUGACAAAACCCACAAAAUAUCAGAAGUGGUUUACUACUUACAGACCCCAGAGAGGAGUGCAGCAUGCCUCUCAGGAAGGGAUGAGCCAUCUAUGAUGCAACAUGCUCAACUAGGAUGAGGGGUAAAAUAAAGAGGGAAUAAACUGUGAGCUGAAGCCUUUACUAGGGUCUAGUACAUCACCUAAGUGGGUUUUCUUCAGGAGAGUUCUAAGUAGGGGGUUUAAAGUAAGUAGGCAUGGUUCCCCGCAGUCACACUGUAACAGAGAGGUGGUCAUUGUGGCAUAUGUGCAGUCUGUGUAGGGUGUGGAGGUUGUAUCUAGCUGUCCCACAGGGAGUGGUCACUAGCAGGUGGUUGUAUAAGGUAGAUAUCUGAAUUGACUACUUUGAAGAACCUGGAGGAGGUGGAAAACUGGAAACAGCAUCAAAGGUGCUUGUGAUUAGAGUAGUUCCACCUUAUAUUUAAAAUGGUGCCUCUUGUGUCAGUUUCCCCUUUGCUGAAUUUGCAUGGUACCUGAUCUCCUGGAGGGAGAAGGAGUUCUUGGCCAGCAGGGAUGAAGAGCUUUUCCAGGCUGAGUGAUUGCUAUAUGGGGAUUCCCCCGUCAGUGCUUUCUGACUCCUAGAAAGUCUCUGUGGCUCAGUGGAGAACAAGACUACUUUCCAUCCUGCUUAUUGUCAGCACAGUUCCCAGUUCCUGACUAAUCUUCUUUGCUGGUGUUCCAGGCUUGUCUGGUAUUGUUAGAGGGACCCUUGUUGAUUUGGGGGCAGGCUGAGACCACCUAGGCUGCUUUCUGUUGCUAGGUUAUGAGUUUAGAGAGACAUCAUCUGUGUGGCUCUCUGUUGUUGGGUUGUAAGAUGCUCUGCUAUUAUUUUUUAACCUUUAUUUUAUUUAUUUUUAUGUGGUGCUGAGGAUUGAACCCAGUACCUCAAACGUGCUAGGUGAGUACUCUGCCACUGGGCCAUAACCCUGACCCCCUCUACUAUUAUUUUUAAGUCCUCAGGACCCUAAUCAGAGUUCUUGCCUUUUUCCUCCUUUCAGGAUCCUCUUUUGGUCAUCUCUUGUGUUAAUUCCAGGGCUUCCAGUUGUACUUAGUGGGGAAGAACAGGGACAGAGGAGUCUAUGCCAUUAUUGGUAUCUAAUAUCUUUAAAAAAAUUGUUUUUGUGGUACUGGGGAUCAAACCUAGGCCCUCACACAUGCUAGGCCAGCACUGUACCACUGAGCUGUAUCCCCAGCCCUUUUUCUUUCUUUUGAAACAAAGUAAGCAUGUAAUAUACAGAUUGCCAGUUUUUGGUUUUCACUUAUUGUGAUGAUUUACAAAUACUUUUUUUUUAAAGAGGGAGAGAGAGAGAGAGGGAGAGAGAGAGAGAGAGAGAGAGAGAGAGAGAGAGAGAGAGAGAGAGAGAGAGAGAGAAUUUUAAUAUUUAUGUUUUAGUUAUCGGCAGACACAACAUCUUUGUAUGUGGUGCUGAGGAUCGAACCCAGGACGCACGCAUGCCAGGCGAGCGCGCUACCGCUUGAGCCACAUCCCAGCCCUACAAAUACUUCUUGAAUGAGUAACUAAAGUGAUUUUUUUUCACAUCAGAUUAGAAAACUACCAUUUUCUUCCCUAAUCCAAAAAUCUGAACUCUGAAAAUGUUCUAGAAUGUAAAACUUUUUUGAGUGCAACAUUGUUGCCACAAAUGGAAAAUUCCACACCUGACCUCAUUUGCAGUCAAAAUGCAGAUGAACUAACAUUAUUAUUUAAAAUCACCUUCAGGCUGGUAUAUAAGGUAUUUAUGAAACAUAAAUAUUUCAUGGUUAAACUAGGGUCCUGUCCCCAAGAUAUCAUUUCAAAUAUUCCAAAAUCUGAAAAAAAAUCUAAAAUCUGAAGCAC
RNAcentral lists this long non-coding RNA (1970 nucleotides) under Marmota monax (woodchuck). The record is from RNAcentral. Lineage: Eukaryota; Metazoa; Chordata; Mammalia; Rodentia; Sciuridae.